CACGGGGGGAACGCGAAGAACCUUACCAGAUCUUGACAUCCUCUGACAAUCUAGGAAACUGGACGUUCCCUUCGGGGACAGAGUGACAGGUGGUGCAUGGUUGUCGUCAGCUCGUGUCGUGAGAUGUUGGGUUAAGUCCCGUAACGAGCGCAACCCUUAUUGUUAGUUGCCAGCAUUCAGUUGGGCACUCUAGCGAGACUGCCGGUGAUAAACCGGAGGAAGGUGGGGAUGACGUCAAAUCAUCAUGCCCCUUAUGAUCUGGGCUACACACGUGCUACAAUGGAUGGUACAACGAGUUGCGAGACCGCGAGGUUCAGCUAAUCUCCUAAAGCCAUUCUCAGUCCGGAUUGCAGGCUGCAACUCGCCUGCAUGAAGCCGGAAUCGCUAGUAAUCGCGGAUCAGAACGCCGCGGUGAAUACGUUCCCGGGUCUUGUACACACGC
RNAcentral lists this ribosomal RNA (442 nucleotides) under uncultured soil bacterium. RNAcentral describes it as "bacterial SSU rRNA". It matches the Rfam family "Bacterial small subunit ribosomal RNA", at positions 950 to 1393 of the family's 1533-position model. The record is from RNAcentral.